Molecule: ribosomal RNA, 613 nt
Filed under: uncultured bacterium
Lineage: Bacteria
Description: bacterial SSU rRNA
Rfam family: Bacterial small subunit ribosomal RNA
Source: RNAcentral
CCUACGGGAGGCAGCAGUAAGGAAUAUUGGACAAUGGCCGCAAGGCUGAUCCAGCCAUGCCGCGUGCAGGAAGAAGGCCCUAUGGGUCGUAAACUGCUUUUGAACCAGAGAAAACCCCACUACGUGUAGUGGGCUGAUAGUAUGGUUAGAAUAAGCAUCGGCUAACUUCGUGCCAGCAGCCGCGGUAAGACGAAGGAUGCAAGCGUUAUCCGGAUUCAUUGGGUUUAAAGGGAGCGUAGGCGGACUUGUAAGUCAGUGGUGAAAUCUGUGGGCUUAACCCACAAACUGCCAUUGAUACUGCAGGUCUAGAGUACAGUUGCCGUUGGCGGAAUAUGACAUGUAGUGGUGAAAUACUUAGAUAUGUCAUAGAACACCGAUUGCGAAGGCAGCUAACGAAGCUGUAACUGACGCUGAGGCUCGAAAGUGCGGGGAUCAAACAGGAUUAGAUACCCUGGUAGUCCGCACUGUAAACGAUGAUUACUCGUUGCUGGAAAGCAAUUUUCAGUGACCAAGCGAAAGCGAUAAGUAAUCCACCUGGGGAGUACGCCGGCAACGGUGAAACUCAAAGGAAUUGACGGCGNGAGAGNGCGAGGACGACGACGAGGGGAGGAGG